GAUAAACGCUGGCGGCGUGCCUAAUACAUGCAAGUCGAGCGAACAGACGAGGAGCUUGCUCCUCUGACGUUAGCGGCGGACGGGUGAGUAACACGUGGAUAACCUACCUAUAAGACUGGGAUAACUUCGGGAAACCGGAGCUAAUACCGGAUGAUAUAUUGAACCGCAUGGUUCAAUAGUGAAAGACGGUUUUGCUGUCACUUAUAGAUGGAUCCGCGCCGCAUUAGCUAGUUGGUAAGGUAACGGCUUACCAAGGCGACGAUGCGUAGCCGACCUGAGAGGGUGAUCGGCCACACUGGAACUGAGACACGGUCCAGACUCCUACGGGAGGCAGCAGUAGGGAAUCUUCCGCAAUGGGCGAAAGCCUGGCGGAGCAACGCCGCGUGAGUGAUGAAGGUCUUCGGAUCGUAAAACUCUGUUAUUAGGGAAGAACAAAUGUGUAAGUAACUAUGCACGUCUUGACGGUACCUAAUCAGAAAGCCACGGCUAACUACGUG
This 497-nucleotide ribosomal RNA is filed under the name uncultured bacterium. Its description in RNAcentral is "partial 16S ribosomal RNA". It matches the Rfam family "Bacterial small subunit ribosomal RNA", at positions 28 to 507 of the family's 1533-position model. The record is from RNAcentral.